RNAcentral lists this ribosomal RNA (233 nucleotides) under uncultured bacterium. RNAcentral's name for it is "partial 16S ribosomal RNA". It matches the Rfam family "Bacterial small subunit ribosomal RNA", at positions 118 to 351 of the family's 1533-position model. The record is from RNAcentral.
UGAGCAACCUGCCCUUCACUUCGGGAUAACCCCGGGGAAACCGGGGCUAAUACCGGAUAUGACCACCCACGGCAUCGUGGGUGGUGGAAAGUUCCGGCGGUGAGGGAUGGGCUCGCGGCCUAUCAGCUUGUUGGUGGGGUAGUGGCCCACCAAGGCGACGACGGGUAGCCGGCCUGAGAGGGUGACCGGCCACACUGGGACUGAGACACGGCCCAGACUCCUACGGGAGGCAG